Micropterus salmoides (largemouth bass) is the source of this 961-nucleotide long non-coding RNA. RefSeq lists it as uncharacterized. Lineage: Eukaryota; Metazoa; Chordata; Actinopteri; Centrarchiformes; Centrarchidae. The record is from RefSeq and is a predicted model, not a curated record. The transcript is spliced from 2 exons.
UUUCAAAUUAAAUCAGAGCAACCUUAGUUGAUCAUGUCAUCAACCAUGGGCUGACUAUGCGUGAGGCUGGACAGAGAGUGCAGCCAAACUUGAGCCGUUUUGCUGUCUCCUCUGUCAUCUGGACCUUUAGACUGGAAAACAGGUAUGUAACCAAAAUUUCAUGUAGUACACCCCAUGUCAUAGUGUAUCAUUGGGUGACACCUGUUUACUUAGUGUAUGACCAAUGUAUGAUCAGCCAUUCAUGAACUGUAAAAGUUUCCUGUACAAUGUACUCUACUGUGGGGGAAAACUAUUUAGGCUGCAUUGUCCAAGCCCUAUAUAUUUUUUUUAUAUUUUUUCUAAAGGACUGAGAGACGACACCCUGGUGGAGGGAGGGGCCAAAUGUUCACCGGGGUACAGGAAGCUGGCAUUGUAAACUUGGUUUUGGAACAUAAUGAAAUCAGAUUACGAGAAAUUCAAAGCCACAUCAUCCAAGACAACAUCUUAUUCAACAACAUUCAACGAGUCAGUCUGUCCACAUUGGCUCACAUUCUCAAGCGAAACAAAAUCAGAAUGAAACAACUUUAAGGUGCCGUUUGAGAGAAACUCUCAAAGAAACAAAGAGGUCAGACGAGCAUAUGCGGAUGGAAUGUGAUGAGAUUGAUGUGGGUGCAAUUCAGGGAUGGAUAAGGCACUCAAGGCGCUUCUUCCCUCGAUGUCUGGCAAGGGAAGAUAUUGCCUGUGAUGUUGACGAGGCGUUGUGGCCAGACCCGGCUGUGCGAGAAGAUCCUGCCUAAUUAUUUUUCUUGCCUUUUUUUUUUUUUUUUUUUUUUACUGUAAUAUAUUUUUUCUGAAAUUUUCUUUUUCAGUUUACUGUUUUUGUAAGAAUACUUUUGUUCAGUCCCAUGUAAAUAUUUCUGCUGUGCAUAUGUUGCACUGACUUGUUUACUGUAGUGAAAAAUAAAAUAAAGUUUCAACAGCA